CCUGGUGACCACAGCGGAGGGGAAACACCCGUUCCCAUUCCGACCACGGAAGUUAAGCCCUCCCGCGCCGAUGGUACUGCCCCCCAAGGGGUGGGAGAGUAGGUCGUCGCCAGGC
RNAcentral lists this ribosomal RNA (115 nucleotides) under Myxococcales bacterium LLY-WYZ-16_1. Lineage: Bacteria; Pseudomonadati; Myxococcota; Myxococcia; Myxococcales. The record is from RNAcentral.